GGGUCUGUGGUUCAGUGGUAGAAUUCUUCGUUGUGGUGUUAUUCUUACACUUCCAAAUCCGAAGCGACCCGUGUUCGAUUCACGGCAGGCCCA
Molecule: transfer RNA, 93 nt
Filed under: Coniochaeta sp. 2T2.1
Lineage: Eukaryota; Fungi; Ascomycota; Sordariomycetes; Coniochaetales; Coniochaetaceae
Rfam family: tRNA
About the family: Transfer RNA (tRNA) molecules are approximately 80 nucleotides in length. Their secondary structure includes four short double-helical elements and three loops (D, anti-codon, and T loops).
Source: Rfam by way of RNAcentral